GACGAACCGAGCAAACGUUAUUCGGAAUCACUGGGCUUAAAGAGUCCGUAGGCGGCGCGUUAGGUGGGGUGUGAAAUCCCUCGGCUCAACCGAGGAAUUGCGCUCCAAACCGGCGUGCUUGAGGAAGGUAGAGGUGAGCGGAACUGAUGGUGGAGCGGUGAAAUGCGUUGAUAUCAUCAGGAACACCGGAGGCGAAGGCGGCUCACUGGGCCUUUUCUGACGCUGAGGGACGAAAGCCAGGGUAGCGAACGGG
RNAcentral lists this ribosomal RNA (253 nucleotides) under uncultured bacterium. RNAcentral describes it as "partial 16S ribosomal RNA". It matches the Rfam family "Bacterial small subunit ribosomal RNA", at positions 524 to 776 of the family's 1533-position model. The record is from RNAcentral.